AAGACAUUGAAAUUUUAAGAAAUAAGAAAGGGAAAAUGAACUUAAUUAAUAACAUUUGAUACACAUGGUAAAUAAAUUAACAAUUUGAAGAUAUAACAAGUUUAAAUACAUAAAUUAUAAUUUGACCAUUGAUACUACACGUUGUCAUGGUUGUGACGUGACGUUGUUGAUCAAAUACAGUAGUUCCGGUAAGUAGGCGGGGCUUAUAGGUUAAUUGAGAUCAUUGACCUAUAAAGCUAACGUUUAUACGUAUAGCUUUAUCUGUAUAGUAAAAUAGCUGAUUGCAGUAUAAA
RNAcentral lists this long non-coding RNA (293 nucleotides) under Mytilus galloprovincialis (Mediterranean mussel). Lineage: Eukaryota; Metazoa; Mollusca; Bivalvia; Mytilida; Mytilidae. The record is from RNAcentral.